Molecule: ribosomal RNA, 158 nt
Filed under: Sarocladium zeae
Lineage: Eukaryota; Fungi; Ascomycota; Sordariomycetes; Hypocreales; Sarocladiaceae
Description: 5.8S ribosomal RNA
Rfam family: 5.8S ribosomal RNA
About the family: 5.8S ribosomal RNA (5.8S rRNA) is a component of the large subunit of the eukaryotic ribosome. It is transcribed by RNA polymerase I as part of the 45S precursor that also contains 18S and 28S rRNA. Functionally, it is thought that 5.8S rRNA may be involved in ribosome translocation.
Source: RNAcentral
AAACUUUUCACAACGGAUCUUUUGGCUCUUGGAUCGAUGUAAGAACGCGAGCGAAAUGCGAUAAGGAAUGUGAAUUGCGGAAUUCUGUGAAUCAUCGAAUCUUUGAACGCACAUUGUGCCCGCCGGGACUCUGGGGCAUGCCUUUCCGAGCGUCAUUU